GUCUUUCCAGUCCCCAGACCAUUCUACCAGGUUUACUAUUUCAGGUAAAAUUCACCUGCUGCCUGAAUAGAGGAAAUCCCUAAACAGGUAGUUCCAUUACGGACCUCUCUUCUGAUAUUCAUGGGGAUUCUUCUAGGUGUCCUUAUAUCUGGAAUUUACAACCAAUGUGUGGCUUUAAAUGGUUGAUUCAUCAUGCAUAAUGU
Non-coding RNA from Pelobates cultripes (western spadefoot toad), 203 nucleotides. The record is from the annotation of a GenBank genome assembly. Lineage: Eukaryota; Metazoa; Chordata; Amphibia; Anura; Pelobatidae.